AUUGAACGCUGGCGGCAGGCCUAACACAUGCAAGUCGAGCGAGCGGCGGACGGGUGAGUAAUGUCUGGGAAACUGCCUGAUGGAGGGGGAUAACCACUGGAAACGGUAGCUAAUACCGCAUACCAUCAGAUGUGCCCAGAUGGGAUUAGCUAGUGGGGGGGGUACUGGCUCACCUAGGCUACGAUCCCUAGCUGGUCUGAGAGGAUGACCAGCCAAACUGGAACUGAGACACGGUCCAGACUCCUACGGGAGGCAGCAGUGGGGAAUAUUGCACAAUGGGCGCAAGCCUGACGCAGCAAUGCCGCGUGAGUGAUGAAGGUCUUCGGGUUGUAAAGCACUGUCAGCGGGGAGGCGUUACCCGCAGAAAAAGCACCGGCUAACUCCGUGCCAGCAGCCGCGGUAAUUC
RNAcentral lists this ribosomal RNA (406 nucleotides) under uncultured bacterium. RNAcentral's name for it is "partial 16S ribosomal RNA". It matches the Rfam family "Bacterial small subunit ribosomal RNA", at positions 30 to 526 of the family's 1533-position model. The record is from RNAcentral.